This is a long non-coding RNA of Sapajus apella (tufted capuchin), 112 nucleotides long. RefSeq lists it as uncharacterized. The record is from RefSeq and is a predicted model, not a curated record. NCBI's taxonomy places the organism in Eukaryota, Metazoa, Chordata, Mammalia, Primates, Cebidae. The transcript has 3 exons.
CAUAUACACUAAAGAAAUAUAGAGUACGUCUUUUCACAUAAGCCCAUAUUUCUUGGUGGCCUUGUUCAUUACUUUUCACUCUUUUUUCUCUAAUCUUGCCUUCUCAUUUUAU